Marmota flaviventris (yellow-bellied marmot) is the source of this 3072-nucleotide long non-coding RNA. RefSeq lists it as uncharacterized. The record is from RefSeq and is a predicted model, not a curated record. NCBI's taxonomy places the organism in Eukaryota, Metazoa, Chordata, Mammalia, Rodentia, Sciuridae.
AAGCCUGGCUCUAGGAGAACACACGGCCCUCUGAGGGAAGUGCUGCUAUUAUUUCACCUUAUAGAUGAAAACCAGGAGGCUGACUGGGGAAGACGAUGGGUUUAUUUCUGGACAUAGAGAAUUGCAGGUGACAUAAAUUCUAAAAGGGGAUUCCCAAGACAGUCGAAACCCACGGAAACUGCUGGGUGCGCAGUGUAUACCUGUAAUCCCAGCAUCUUGGUAGGUAAAGAGGGGGGGAUCACUUGGGCCAAGGAGUUCAAGGUCAGUCUGGACAACACAGUGAGACCCUAUCUCAAGAAUAAAUAAAACACUGAACCUGGAGAAUGGUAGGGAAGAGGGUACCGCUGGGGAAGAAGGAUGCAGGGCAUAUAGAUUUCCAUACAGAGCCUCACGCAUCUUUUGAGUUUUGAUCAUAUUGAGGUAGGUAGAAGGAUUAAGAACAGGCAGAAAGGAGAGAAACAGGGAAGGAGAGGGACUGUAACUUUAAAACUCCAUGAACACCUUCUCCUUUAAUCUCCAGGAAAUCCUCUUUUCCUCCAGGUCUGAAUUCUUCAAAGGUCCAGUAAACCUUAGAGUACUGUCAGUCCAAUUAAUUGGUGCCCAUAUACCUUGUUAGCUUACAGGAUGUAUUUUAGAAUAAUUAAAAGAAGCCCAGAGAGAGAUUGCUAGACACCUCUGAUACGGUCCAGUCCAAGCGCUGUUAACUAGAUAACGUCAACAUGAAGACUCUGAGAAGAACCAGACCACCUAGACCAGCUCUGGGAUCCACCUUCAAAAGAACUGAGCUCAUUAGGCGGAUGCCACCUGGUGAGGGCACAUCCUGAGACAUGCAUCGUUAAUCAGUUUCAUCAUGGCUGACUACCGCAUACUGCCACCAGCCCACAGGGGAUGGAUAGUCCCUGGAAGUCACCUCUGGACUGCAGGAAAAGACAUGAUAAACACGAGACGCAUGAAACUGCUGUCAACAGAAUAUGGCCGACUGCUUGACGUGCUAGGGAUCAAUCCAUGGCCUCAUGCCUGCCAGACACUCUACCACGGAGCCCCAUCCCCAGCCCUUGUAAUUGGCUUUCUACCUGCUUGAGUAGAAUACUCAAGUCUGGUUGAAGGUGGUGGGUUUCAUUUCUGCUACACUGGAACUUGAUGGGGUGGAGCAGGAAGUUUAGGGGAAAUGGUUUAGGGGAUGUUUCUGUGGGUGGUGCCUAACUAUAGGGCUUUAGUCUUGUUUGAGAAGGGAGAUUAAGAACUUUUGGUUUUGUGAGCCAGAAAAUCAUAUACCAAUGACAGAGCAAUGGCUCAGGUAGUUUCCAUCAUCACCUGCCAUGACAGACGGUGAGCAUGGGCCAGUGAAGGAGGCAUGGUGGACGACAGUGUUCCCGUCAGGUGGCUGGCCUGGAGAGGGUGUGUGGCUGAGACUCCAUGCACAGCCUCCAUCCCAAUUUGCUUCUUGGAUUUGCAAGAGGAUGCCAGGUCCUGAGACUGAUGACCAGCACCUUCCCCACGGAUCCUGCUCUUGGCGCUAUCCACCCCUUACUCCCUCAAGAGUCUUCUCAUCUCUCAACACCUCUGAACAUAGGAUUGGCUUCAGAAUGGAGUGACUUAAAACUCGAAUUAUAGCUGAGUAUGGUGGUACCUGUCAUCCAGCAACUGGGGAGGCUGAGGCCAGCCUGGACAGCUUAUCGAGCCUCUGUCACAAAGCAAAACACUUGAAUUACUGAAACACGAUAUCUUGAUUUCAAGAAUGGAAAAAAAAAUUAAAUAUGGCAAAAAUCAAGUCUUGUGAAAUAUUCCUCUGGUCUCCACCUACAGUGACCUUUUUUCUUUUGUGGUACUAGGGAUUGAACUGAGGAUCUGACUCACGCUAGGCAAGCUGUACCAUGAUCUACAACCCCAGGCCCCAAGUUGUCCUUUCUUUUCUUCUAAUUUUCUUUUUGUCCCCCCAGUGCUAAGGAUGGAGUCCAGAGCCUCAUGCCUGCUGGGCAAGUGCCCCACCACGAGCCGGCUCCAGCCCCCUCCAGGCAUCUGAGACGUCUGAAGGCAGCCUUUGCUCAGCCACAGAAUCUCAUCAAUGUAGUCGUUCUGUUUUUGGACCCUCCAGUACCUACACAGCUCUGGACUGGGAGGAAACAGUGCCGACACUCAGAGCAAAUGUAAAUAUUAGUUCCACUGAAUCAAGAACCUGGGUGCUAAGCCUGUCUGUGCCCUGGGCUCCCAGGGGAAGUUGGGCUUUGUUUCUAGCUUAUCUCCAAGGUCUCCUGCAACCCUAAAAUCUAUGAGAAGUAAAAUGUUUUGCAGUGCUGUUGGUACUCUGAGCUGCUUCUCAAGGUGCAGGUCUGAUUUGCUAGGAACUGGCUGCACUCUAAACCCCUGGGCCAGCCCCUGGUUGCUUCCUACAUGCCCCACUGCCUUUGAUCCUCGGAUAGACCAGCUCUCCUGCCUCUGAGCAGCUCUGUUGGACACUUUUUCCCCACAUUUGCAAAUGCAGUUAUUUCUCAUCACUGGGGCCUCGCUGAAAUGCGGUCUCUCAGAAGUCUUCCUUGACUUUGUAUCUAGAGGGAGCAUCUCCCCGAGGCCAAUGCUUUCCAUGACAUCAUCCCACUUGUGUCCCUACAGUGCUUAUUACAACACACAAGCAUCUCCCAGGUCACUGGCUCCUUAUCACGCUCCCCCCACAGACAACACACUGCAAGGACAGGAAACUGUCUUUAUUCUUUUUCUCUAUAUCUGCAGAAUCAGGCUUCCAGGAACCUAUUUAAUGCCUUUUCUGAAACAGAAAAGUCUGCUCCUUCCUCUGAGAACACCUAUGCCUGGCUGGGCACUGGCCUGCUGGGCUACCCAUGGCCUGGAUUUCAGCCCCUCCUUGCUCCUUGACCAGUUGUUCUUGGUCAGUGAACAACCCACACAACUAUGUACACUCUCCGAUGACCAGUACCUUGCAAGGAACCUGGCAGAUUAUAGAAACUUCAUUUAAUUGGAUGAGUACAUCAAAUUUAUUGAGGUAUACAAUUUCUCUAUAAUAAAAUUCACUAUUUUAACUGUUUAGUGCAGUGAGUUUUUGACAGAUGUUGUACCCAG